This is an RNA transcript of Aethalodelphis obliquidens (Pacific white-sided dolphin), 3303 nucleotides long. It is a transcript of the gene named mitogen-activated protein kinase 13, with no coding region annotated. The transcript is spliced from 14 exons. The record is from RefSeq and is a predicted model, not a curated record. NCBI's taxonomy places the organism in Eukaryota, Metazoa, Chordata, Mammalia, Artiodactyla, Delphinidae.
GGGCGGGUGCUGGGAGCCUGGCGGGCCGCGAACGUACCCAUCGCGCUGGGGCCGCCGAGAUUGAGUGCCCAGGAUGAACUUCACCUGGAAAAAGGGCUUCUACAAGCAGGACGUCAACAAGACCGCCUGGGAGCUGCCCAAGACCUACGUGUCCCUGACGCACGUAGGCAGCGGGGCCUACGGCGCCGUGUGCUCAGCCAUCGAGAAGCAGUCAGGGGAGAAGGUGGCCAUCAAGAAACUGAGCCGGCCCUUCCAGUCUGAGAUCUUUGCCAAGCGGGCCUAUCGCGAGCUGCUGCUGCUGAAGCACAUGCAGCAUGAGAACGUCAUCGGACUCCUGGAUGUCUUCACCCCAGCCUCUUCCCUGCGCAACUUUCAUGAUUUCUUUACCACCAAAGAGACAUCGUUGCCAGUCCCCACAGGGUUUGCAUCAACCUACCUCACCAUUUCCUGGGGACGCAGCUACCUGGUGAUGCCCUUCAUGCAAAUGGACCUGCAGAAGAUCAUGGGAAUGGAGUUCGGUGAGGACAAGAUCCAGUACCUGGUGUAUCAGAUGCUCAAAGGUCUUAAGUACAUCCACUCAGCUGGGGUCAUCCACAGGGACCUGAAGCCAGGCAACCUUGCUGUCAAUGAGGAUUGUGAGCUGAAGAUUUUGGAUUUUGGGUUGGCACGGCAAGCAGAUGCAGAGAUGACCGGCUAUGUGGUGACCCGCUGGUACCGGGCCCCUGAGGUGAUCCUCAGCUGGAUGCACUACAACCAGACUGUGGACAUCUGGUCUGUGGGCUGUAUCAUGGCGGAGAUGCUGACGGGGAAAACUCUGUUCAAGGGGAAAGAUUACCUGGACCAGCUGACGCAGAUCCUGAAAGUGACGGGGGUGCCGGACGCUGAGUUUGUGCAGAAGUUGAAUGACAAAGCGGCCAAAUCCUACAUCCAGUCCCUGCCACAAACCCCCAAGAAGGAUUUCUCUCAGCUCUUCCAGCAUGCCAGCCCCCAGGCUGCAGACCUGCUGGAGAAGAUGCUGGAGCUGGACAUGGACAAGCGCCUGACCGCCUCUCAGGCCCUCACCCACCCCUUCUUUGAAUCCUGCCGGGACCCUGAGGAGGAAACAGAGGCCCAGCAGCCAUUUGAUGAUUUCUUAGAACAGGAGAAACUCACAGUGGAUGAAUGGAAGCACCACAUUUACAAGGAGAUUGUGAACUUCAGCCCCAUCGCCCGGAAGGACUCUCGGCGCCGGAGUGGCAUGAAGCUGCAGUGACCCGUCUAGCCCGACCCUCGGCUGAGCCCAGGAAUGGCCACAUGGUACCACCCGCCAGGCACUGCCCCUGGGACCAAUAUUUAUUUAUUGAAGCUUUAACCCGUCUUGGAUUAUAUAGCCUUCCAAGCAGAGGGCAGAGGACCCUUGUCCUUGUGUAGGAAACAGGCCUAGGAGAUGCAGAAUUCAGAGGUGUUGGUUGGGAGAAAAUAGCUAUGAUCAUAACUGGCCAUAUUAAAGCGCCCAUCUGGAGAAUCGCCUGUGUGUGGGGUCCUUACCUUCAUGGCUGUAGUGGGGCUGAACUGGGGCAGGAGUCUACGGCAGUGAUGGUGUAUUAGUUUGCUAGGGCUGCUGUAACAAAUGAUCACAAACUGGGUGGCUUAAAAUGAUAGAAAUUUAUUCUCACAGUUCUGGAGGCUGGUAGUCUGAAAUCAAGGUGUUGGCAGGGCCAUGUUCCCUUCGAAGGUUCUAGGGAAGAAUCCCUCCUGGCCUCUUUUUAGCUUCUGGUGGCUCUUGGAAUCUUUGGUGUUCUUUGGCUUAUAGCUGCAUCACCCCUGUCUCUGCCUCUGUCUUCACAGGGCCUUCUCUGCUCUGUGUAUCUCUGUCUUUGGCUGAUCUUGUAAGAACAUCAGUCACUGAAUUUAGGACCCACCCUGAUCCAGUGUGAUCUCAUCUUAAUCCUUAGUAAUUACAUCUGCAACUAUCUCAUUUUCAAAUAAAGUCACAUUCUGAGGUUCUGGGUGGGCAUGAAUUUUGGGGGCACAUUUUUCAACCCACUACAGAUGGCCAUGAGGGAGGGGCCCCAUCCCAGAGCCCCUUUGUUGUGGAGCCAAACGUGUUUGGCUGCUAAAUUAAGGGAGUUGCAGAGAGAGCUGCAGCUGGUGAGACAUCGCAUGCAGGUUAUUUUGGGAAAAAGAAAAAGCUUGAGGCUCCAGAGAGAUACCCACAGUGAGAAAGUGGUAAAGCCAGGAUUUGAACCACAGCAGCCUCGAACACUGUGCCAAAGGCCGUCAACCCAAGCCUGGAAUCAAGGGUUGCCAGCUUCCCCGCCCUUCUAGCCUGUCUCUGAGCUUCUUCACUGCUGCCUGUGUCCAAGGACCCUGUUUUCUCUCCCAAGGAGUGGCCCUCCUAUCCAGGAGGGAGGAGUGGGUCGAGGGAGGGGCUCUGACCUUGCUGCUGACUAAACUGCCACCGUCCCCUUAGUCUAAAUCCUUCAGUGAAUUGUCUUCUGAGACUCCUCAAUAGUCCCAAGGAAAGUCUAGCCUUCUUGGCCUGGUAUUCAAAGUCCCCUGCAUUCUCUAAACUCAUCUACUCCUACUGCCUCCUGUUUUCCCUAUGCCAGCAUGGCCUGCCAAGGAACACUAGCCCUGGGAUACAACACCAUGAGGCUCAUUAACAGGUUAAAGGUUCUGACAAGUCCUGCAGUGAGGAGAACUGUUCAACAUUGUUUAAUCCAGAACUUGCCAAGUGUGCUUAACCGCAGGACCCCCUUUCUCCUGACGGCCAGCAUGCACAGAAGCCUCUUUGCCUAGUGCAGCCCAGUAUGCAGGUCCCAAUACUGCUUUUCCCCAAGCAGGCCUGGAGCUUGGGCUUCUUUCAAAGCCUCUGUGGAGAAGUCCCUCCCUCCUUCUCCUCCUUAUUCCCUCAAGACUUUGCCUCAGGCCUCCCUCCAGGAAGUCAUUCUCCAUCACCCUCCAUCAGAGAAUGGGCAGCUUCCUCCCUCUGCCCCUGGCCCUCUAUGAACAGCAUUUACAGUGUGUACGGUUCUGCUUUCCCUCCCCAUUGCCCACUGUGAGCCCCUGAUUGGAACAAACAUCUAUGAAUGAAUGAUGUCCCAGGGGCCUGUUGGUCGUUUCUCUGCCCAGAUCAGACCAGCAUGGUAUCCAGGGCAGCAGAGAAUCCAGCAGGAAGCAGAAGUGGGUGCCUUGGCCUGUACCUUAAGACUUUUUCCCCUGAAAAUCUCAGGCUCUCAAACUCCCAGGCCUCUCCCCAUCAUCCCUCAGUGUCCUCCAGUCCAUCCCCCACCCAGAAUUAAACUUGUGUGUGUCACCUCA